UAUUCAUUCACCAAACACAAAACAGUUCCCAUUCUUGCAAAUGGCUACCAAAGUUUACAUUGUGUACGUUCUUUAUACUUUCUGUUUAGUUCUUUAUUUUUUUCCAUUAUAUAUUUUUAUGGUUCUUGAAAGUUGGAAAGUCCCCUGCUUCUUGUUUUAUCCUUCUAAAUUUUAAAUCACGAUCUUGAAGAUAUUUUACAUUCAGACUAAAAAAUAGAGAAUGGGAUUGUUGGGUCAUAUGAAGUCCUUAUAUAGGUUCUUGAUUUUGUGAUUUAAAUGAACUUGACAUCAAGAAAUUGAUUAUUUUUGUUAUUUAUCGUUGCCUGAAAGCCGAUUCAGGUUGCAUUAUGAACUGUGGCUUCUAGAGUAAAUCCCCAUAUUAAAUCUCUGUAAAAUUUUGCGAUGUGUUUUCCUUCUUAUUGACUGUGUGCCAAAGUAAUAUUUUUCUUUAUUGAACUGAUGGGGUUUUCUAUCAAUAUUCUGUAAAAAUUUAGGACUUUGCUAGUUGUAAAGUUUUCUUUACACCUUUGUUGAUGGAUGCUGAGGUGUCAUACAUUUUGACCCUUGAUUUGAAUCUGUCAACAAAGGUGGAAAACAAUUUCUGUACAAGUAGCUUAAUUGAUCAUUUUAAGUAACAUUGUUGAUGUGCAAGAUUAGCCAUGACAUUUAUUAUUAUUAUGUGCUAAUCGCUAUAAGAUUUGCAUCAUGUUGGAUCUUGCAUUGUGUUCUUGCUCUUAUAAUUGUAUCUAGUAGUUCGAAGACAUGGACGCAACUGUUUAUUGGCUUGUUCUAUUGAUGGUAUCAUAUCCAUUCUUGCAUCAAUUAAAGCUUUGAAAGUAAUAGAUUGUGUAUUUGACACAACUUACCUAUUGACAUCUCCAGUCGUACAAAUUUGCAGCUAACGAACUUCAAUUUAUGAUGCAGAUACUAUUCUAUGUAUGGACAUGUUGAGCGAUUAGCUCAGGAGAUUAAAAAAGGAGCCGAAGCUGUUGACGGAGUAGAGGCCAAAUUAUGGCAGGUUUGUUAUUAUUCUUGUUCUAAUUGUUCAAUUAUUAACAGAAGAUUCUGAUGAACAAUAUCCAAUGUAAGUCUUUGUUAUUGCUUCUUCUGGGAUGCACAAGAGAUAGAUACUGAUUAGUUUCAUAGUUUGGCUGCAAAGUUAAUAUUCAAACAUCGUUUCUUAGAAACAAAUUAUUUUAUAUCUUACCAUAAGAACCUUUGGGAUAAAAAAAAAAAAAAA
RNAcentral lists this long non-coding RNA (1240 nucleotides) under Olea europaea subsp. europaea. The record is from RNAcentral. Lineage: Eukaryota; Viridiplantae; Streptophyta; Magnoliopsida; Lamiales; Oleaceae.